UUCCGGUUGAUCCCGCCGGACCUGACUGCUAUCGGAUUGAUACUAAGCCAUGCGAGUUUUUGUAGCAAUACAAGGCAUACGGCUCAGUAACACGUAGUCAAUCUAACCUAUGGACGAGGAUAACCUCGGGAAACUGAGAAUAAUACUCGAUAGAUCAUUAUGCCUGGAACGGUUUAUGGUUAAAAUGAAUUUCGCCAUAGGAUGGGACUGCGGUCUAUCAGCUUGUUGGUGAUGUAAUGGACCACCAAGGCUAUAACAGAUACGGGCUCUGAGAGGAGAAGCCCGGAGAUGGGUACUGAAACACGGACCCAGGCCCUAUGGGGCGCAGCAGGCGAGAAAACUUUGCAAUGUGCGAAAGCACGACAAGGUUAAUCCGAGUGAUUCCUGCUAAAGGAAUCUUUUGUUAGUCAUAAAACCACUAUUGAAUAAGGGGUGGGCAAGUUCUGGUGUCAGCCGCCGCGGUAAAACCAGCACCUCAAGUGGUCAGGAUGAUUAUUGGGCCUAAAGCAUCCGUAGCCGGCUCUGUUAGUUUUCGGUUAAAUCCAUAUGCUCAACAUAUGGGCCGCCGGGAAUACUACAAAGCUAGGGAGUGGGAGAGGUAGACGGUACUCCGUAGGAAGGGGUAAAAUCCUUUGAUCUAUGGAUGACCACCAGUGGCGAAGGCGGUCUACCAGAACACGUUCGACGGUGAGGGAUGAAAGCUGGGGGAGCAAACCGGAUUAGAUACCCGGGUAGUCCCAGCUGUAAACUAUGCAAACUCAGUGAUGCAUUGGCUUGUGGCCAGUGCAGUGCCGCAGAGAAGUCGUUAAGUGUGCCGCCUGGGAAGUACGUACGCAAGUAUGAAACUUAAAGGAAUUGGCGGGGGAGCACCACAAGGGGUGAAGCCUGCGGUUCAAUUGGAGUCAACGCCGGAA
This 914-nucleotide ribosomal RNA is filed under the name uncultured crenarchaeote. RNAcentral's name for it is "bacterial SSU rRNA". It matches the Rfam family "Archaeal small subunit ribosomal RNA", at positions 1 to 923 of the family's 1478-position model. Lineage: Archaea; Thermoproteati; Thermoproteota. The record is from RNAcentral.